GUAGGUGGCAAGCGUUGUCCGGGAAUUAGUUGGGCGUAAAGCGCGCGCAGGCGGUUCGUUUAAGUCUGAUGUGAAAGCCCACGGGCUCAACCGUGGAGGUCAUUGGAAACUGGAGAACGUUGAGUACAGAAGAGGAAAGCGGAAUUCCACGUGUAGCGGUAGAAAUGCGUAGAGAUGUGGAGGAACACCAGUGGCGAAGGCGGCUUUCUGGUCUGUAACUGGCGCUGAGGCGCGAAAGCGUGGGGAGCAAACAGGAUUAGAUACCCUGGUAGUCCACGCCGUAAACGAUGAGUGCUAAGCGUUAGGGGGUUUCCGCCCCUUAGUGCUGCAGCUAACGCAUUAAGCACUCCGCCUGGGGGAGUACGGCCGCAAAGGCUG
This 378-nucleotide ribosomal RNA is filed under the name uncultured organism. RNAcentral describes it as "partial 16S ribosomal RNA". It matches the Rfam family "Bacterial small subunit ribosomal RNA", at positions 527 to 896 of the family's 1533-position model. The record is from RNAcentral.